AGAGUUUGAUCCUGGCUCAGGAUGAACGCUAGCGGCAGGCUUAACACAUGCAAGUCGAGGGGUAUAUGUCUUCGGAUAUAGAGACCGGCGCACGGGUGCGUAACGCGUAUGCAAUCUACCUUUUACAGGGGAAUAGCCCAGAGAAAUUUGGAUUAAUGCCCCAUAGUAUUAUGAAAUGGCAUCAUUUUAUAAUUAAAGUCACAACGGUAAAAGAUGAGCAUGCGUCCCAUUAGCUAGUUGGUAAGGUAACGGCUUACCAAGGCUACGAUGGGUAGGGGUCCUGAGAGGGAGAUCCCCCACACUGGUACUGAGACACGGACCAGACUCCUACGGGAGGCAGCAGUGAGGAAUAUUGGACAAUGGGCGCAAGCCUGAUCCAGCCAUGCCGCGUGCAGGAUGACGGUCCUAUGGAUUGUAAACUGCUUUUGUACAGGAAGAAACACUGGUUCGUGAACCAGCUUGACGGUACUGUAAGAAUAAGGAUCGGCUAACUCCGUGCCAGCAGCCGCGGUAAUACGGAGGAUCCAAGCGUUAUCCGGAAUCAUUGGGUUUAAAGGGUCCGUAGGCGGUUUAAUAAGUCAGUGGUGAAAGCCCAUCGCUCAACGGUGGAACGGCCAUUGAUACUGUUAGACUUGAAUUAUUAGGAAGUAACUAGAAUAUGUAGUGUAGCGGUGAAAUGCUUAGAGAUUACAUGGAAUACCAAUUGCGAAGGCAGGUUACUACUAAUGGAUUGACGCUGAUGGACGAAAGCGUGGGUAGCGAACAGGAUUAGAUACCCUGGUAGUCC
RNAcentral lists this ribosomal RNA (787 nucleotides) under uncultured bacterium. RNAcentral describes it as "bacterial SSU rRNA". It matches the Rfam family "Bacterial small subunit ribosomal RNA", at positions 8 to 796 of the family's 1533-position model. The record is from RNAcentral.